Molecule: ribosomal RNA, 86 nt
Filed under: Castor canadensis (American beaver)
Lineage: Eukaryota; Metazoa; Chordata; Mammalia; Rodentia; Castoridae
Source: RNAcentral
GUCUACAGCCAUACAACCCUGAAUGCGCGCCCAAUCUCGUCUAAGCUUGGAAGCUAAGCCUGGUUAGUACUUAUAUUCUGUGGCUA